GCAGUCAGAGGCGAUGAAGGACGUGCUAAUCUGCGAUAAGCGUCGGUAAGGUGAUAUGAACCGUUAUAACCGGCGAUUUCCGAAUGGGGAAACCCAGUGUGAUUCGUCACACUAUCAUUAACUGAAUCCAUAGGUUAAUGAGGCGAACCGGGGGAACUGAAACAUCUAAGUACCCCGAGGAAAAGAAAUCAACCGAGAUUCCCCCAGUAGCGGCGAGCGAACGGGGAGGAGCCCAGAGCCUGAAUCAGUGUGUGUGUUAGUGGAAGCGUCUGGAAAGGCGUGCGAUACAGGGUGACAGCCCCGUACACAAAAAUGCACAUACUGUGAGCUCGAUGAGUAGGGCGGGACACGUGGUAUCCUGUCUGAAUAUGGGGGGACCAUCCUCCAAGGCUAAAUACUCCUGACUGACCGAUAGUGAACCAGUACCGUGAGGGAAAGGCGAAAAGAACCCCGGCGAGGGGAGUGAAAAAGAACCUGAAACCGUGUACGUACAAGCAGUGGGAGCCUCUUAAUGGGGUGACUGCGUACCUUUUGUAUAAUGGGUCAGCGACUUAUAUUCUGUAGCAAGGUUAACCGAAUAGGGGAGCCGAAGGGAAACCGAGUCUUAACUGGGCGUUAAGUUGCAGGGUAUAGACCCGAAACCCGGUGAUCUAGCCAUGGGCAGGUUGAAGGUUGGGUAACACUAACUGGAGGACCGAACCGACUAAUGUUGAAAAAUUAGCGGAUGACUUGUGGCUGGGGGUGAAAGGCCAAUCAAACCGGGAGAUAGCUGGUUCUCCCCGAAAGCUAUUUAGGUAGCGCCUCGUGAAUUCAUCUCCGGGGGUAGAGCACUGUUUCGGCAAGGGGGUCAUCCCGACUUACCAACCCGAUGCAAACUGCGAAUACCGGAGAAUGUUAUCACGGGAGACACACGGCGGGUGCUAACGUCCGUCGUGAAGAGGGAAACAACCCAGACCGCCAGCUAAGGUCCCAAAGUCAUGGUUAAGUGGGAAACGAUGUGGGAAGGCCCAGACAGCCAGGAUGUUGGCUUAGAAGCAGCCAUCAUUUAAAGAAAGCGUAAUAGCUCACUGGUCGAGUCGGCCUGCGCGGAAGAUGUAACGGGGCUAAACCAUGCACCGAAGCUGCGGCAGCGACACUAUGUGUUGUUGGGUAGGGGAGCGUUCUGUAAGCCUGUGAAGGUGUACUGUGAGGUAUGCUGGAGGUAUCAGAAGUGCGAAUGCUGACAUAAGUAACGAUAAAGCGGGUGAAAAGCCCGCUCGCCGGAAGACCAAGGGUUCCUGUCCAACGUUAAUCGGGGCAGGGUGAGUCGACCCCUAAGGCGAGGCCGAAAGGCGUAGUCGAUGGGAAACAGGUUAAUAUUCCUGUACUUGGUGUUACUGCGAAGGGGGGACGGAGAAGGCUAUGUUGGCCGGGCGACGGUUGUCCCGGUUUAAGCGUGUAGGCUGGUUUUCCAGGCAAAUCCGGAAAAUCAAGGCUGAGGCGUGAUGACGAGGCACUACGGUGCUGAAGCAACAAAUGCCCUGCUUCCAGGAAAAGCCUCUAAGCAUCAGGUAACAUCAAAUCGUACCCCAAACCGACACAGGUGGUCAGGUAGAGAAUACCAAGGCGCUUGAGAGAACUCGGGUGAAGGAACUAGGCAAAAUGGUGCCGUAACUUCGGGAGAAGGCACGCUGAUAUGUAGGUGAAGUCCCUCGCGGAUGGAGCUGAAAUCAGUCGAAGAUACCAGCUGGCUGCAACUGUUUAUUAAAAACACAGCACUGUGCAAACACGAAAGUGGACGUAUACGGUGUGACGCCUGCCCGGUGCCGGAAGGUUAAUUGAUGGGGUUAGCGGUAACGCGAAGCUCUUGAUCGAAGCCCCGGUAAACGGCGGCCGUAACUAUAACGGUCCUAAGGUAGCGAAAUUCCUUGUCGGGUAAGUUCCGACCUGCACGAAUGGCGUAAUGAUGGCCAGGCUGUCUCCACCCGAGACUCAGUGAAAUUGAACUCGCUGUGAAGAUGCAGUGUACCCGCGGCAAGACGGAAAGACCCCGUGAACCUUUACUAUAGCUUGACACUGAACAUUGAGCCUUGAUGUGUAGGAUAGGUGGGAGGCUUUGAAGUGUGGACGCCAGUCUGCAUGGAGCCGGCCUUGAAAUACCACCCUUUAAUGUUUGAUGUUCUAACGUUGGCCCCUGACCGGGGUUGCGGACAGUGUCUGGUGGGUAGUUUGACUGGGGCGGUCUCCUCCUAAAGAGUAACGGAGGAGCACGAAGGUUGGCUAAUCCUGGUCGGACAUCAGGAGGUUAGUGCAAUGGCAUAAGCCAGCUUGACUGCGAGCGUGACGGCGCGAGCAGGUGCGAAAGCAGGUCAUAGUGAUCCGGUGGUUCUGAAUGGAAGGGCCAUCGCUCAACGGAUAAAAGGUACUCCGGGGAUAACAGGCUGAUACCGCCCAAGAGUUCAUAUCGACGGCGGUGUUUGGCACCUCGAUGUCGGCUCAUCACAUCCUGGGGCUGAAGUAGGUCCCAAGGGUAUGGCUGUUCGCCAUUUAAAGUGGUACGCGAGCUGGGUUUAGAACGUCGUGAGACAGUUCGGUCCCUAUCUGCCGUGGGCGCUGGAGAACUGAGGGGGGCUGCUCCUAGUACGAGAGGACCGGAGUGGACGCAUCACUGGUGUUCGGGUUGUCAUGCCAAUGGCACUGCCCGGUAGCUAAAUGCGGAAGAGAUAAGUGCUGAAAGCAUCUAAGCACGAAACUUGCCCCGAGAUGAGUUCUCCCUGACUCCUUGAGAGUCCUGAAGGAACGUUGAAGACGACGACGUUGAUAGGCCGGGUGUGUAAGCGCAGCGAUGCGUUGAGCUAACCGGUACUAAUGAACCGUGAG
Molecule: ribosomal RNA, 2859 nt
Filed under: Escherichia coli
Lineage: Bacteria; Pseudomonadati; Pseudomonadota; Gammaproteobacteria; Enterobacterales; Enterobacteriaceae
Description: partial 23S ribosomal RNA
Rfam family: Bacterial large subunit ribosomal RNA
Source: RNAcentral